This 477-nucleotide long non-coding RNA is filed under the name Malus domestica (apple). RNAcentral describes it as "long non-coding RNA (MDOM_LNC020409)". Lineage: Eukaryota; Viridiplantae; Streptophyta; Magnoliopsida; Rosales; Rosaceae. The record is from RNAcentral.
CCAUCUCACUACACUAGUGGGUGUGGAUCUUUAGAGGUCUUCUCCUUUGGAGACUAAAGGAGAACUGAUAGGAGCAUAUUUAUGCGACUUAGUUAGCUAGUUCUUAUGCAUUUCCAUGGUGUUUUCUUAGUUAACGUAGUCUUUUAAGCUAGUUUUAUGUGUUUUCAGGUUUUAGAGACAAAGUAUGCAAGGAAGUGCAAAAUGGAGCAUAAUUGAGCUAAAAUGGCAUUUUUACUUAUGGAGCACAAGGAAUGGACGAGUUGAAGGUCAAAGGGAGCUUAAGAAAUGAAGAAAUGAAAGUGAAGAACAAAGAAUUCAGAAUUAGAACCCAAAGUUUCUAAAGUUGGAAGUUUCUAUUCUUGGAGGUUUCCAUUUGUGAGAGUUUCUAUUCUUGGCUUUGGGCUUCUAGAUGACCCAUCCUUACAUUCUUGGACAUUGCCGCACCAUAGGCCCAUCUCUAAACCCUAACCCUAGCCG